AAAAAGACAAACCCUGGGUUUCCGUGUCCAACAUUUGACUGUUCGUCUUAUAUGAAAUUUUUUUAUAAUUAGUAUUUUCAUUGUUGUUAGAUGAUAAAACAUGCUUAAUACUUUAUGCGUGACUUGUCUUUUUAAUUUUUUUCAUAAUUUUUUCAAAUAAGACGGAUGAUAAAACUUGGACACGGAAACCCAGUGUUUGUCUUUUU
Molecule: microRNA precursor, 206 nt
Filed under: Oryza sativa Japonica Group (Japanese rice)
Lineage: Eukaryota; Viridiplantae; Streptophyta; Magnoliopsida; Poales; Poaceae
Description: MIR812 microRNA precursor family
Rfam family: MIR812 microRNA precursor family
Source: Rfam by way of RNAcentral